UGAAAUAGAAGUGGUAUUGGUUCGAUUGUUGGGGUUCAAUCGGCCGUAGCCCUUCAUCUAUAUAAAGGGGAGGUCUGGAUCCGCUUCCAACUGAUUUCCGAGUUAAUCCCGCGGUUUUAGGUAACAAAUCCCGCGAGAAACUAGGAACCCUAACUGACUCUGCGCACGCGCGGACCGUCCGCGCCAUCACCGCGGACUAUCCGUGCUGCUCUUUUUGGUCUCCAGCAGAUGUAGAUAUUGGAGCACCAAAUUGAGAAUUAGAAUCAUCUUUCCUGAAUUCUGUUGUUUGGCUGCAAAUGGAAUUAAUGAUUGAAAUCAGAGAUCUAAUUUCCUAGAAUUAAACUAUAACUAGAAACUCACUCUCUCAAUUCAGAAUAUCACACCUCUGUAUUGGGUGGAAUCAGACCGAAUAAUUACAAACUUCAAUUCAGUGGCAUUCAAACAAUAAAAUUGCAAUUUUAUAUCAUUGCAGUAACAUGUCUGAUUUGGUAUUUAGCCCAAUUCAAUUCUAUAUCCUCUAAUAUCAACGUACAAACGGAGAAUUAAGAAAAUGAGGUUUUUCCCAAACUAGCCAUUAAUAUUAAAAAAAAGAAUCAUAUUUUAAAGACCAACGAUCACGCUGCACAAUGCCUGAGAUGAGGGGACAAUAUAUAAUCGAACCUGUAAUCCUUCAGACCGCUGCAGAGCAUCCACGACAGGCUCUGUGGAUGAAAGCAAGUGAUCACUGCCACAUCCGGCCAUCAGCAGCUCUUUUCCAGGAGCACCAUCACAGCCCAGAACGACACCUGCAAAUUCCAAAGCCAGCUCCGCUGAUAAGAUAUGAGAAAACAGCACCAUCAAUACGCAGGCUAAAACGACGAGAAAACAAACCGGCUUUCGCUUCGGAUCAAAGUGUAUAAUCAGUAAGUCAAGUGAAUAGAUCGAAAAUGAGAAGAAAACGCAUUGGCCAAGACGCAUAUUGCCGCAACAAAAAUGCUGGUUCGGUUUCCACCGAUCAGAAUGCAGACAUAGGAAUAAAGAAAAGUAUGUGUGCACGUAUGAGAACCAGAACCACUCAGGAUCCAGGGCACUCGUCCCUCCUGGAAGGAGCUAUAUGAGAGGAGAACGACCGAAUAAGAAUAGAGGGGAAGGGGGAGCGAGAGGCGGGAGCCGUAC
RNAcentral lists this long non-coding RNA (1155 nucleotides) under Zea mays. RNAcentral describes it as "long non-coding RNA (ZMAY_LNC000529)". The record is from RNAcentral. Lineage: Eukaryota; Viridiplantae; Streptophyta; Magnoliopsida; Poales; Poaceae.